CUCUACGGGGUGCCGUCACGUUUAAUAAAUUUAGAAGAAUGAGAAUUGAAUUACGGAUAGACGACCGGCGGGACCUAAAGGACAUUUUUCGUCCUUGGAAUAGGAUCGAGUCUGGCGCCCGUAAUGUCUCUUCGAGUGUCGACGAAGGAGCGAAAAGUGUAAAUAUAAAGCGGAUAUUUGGGCAGGUCCGACCUCGAAGGGACCCCCGAGUCGCUUACCGAAAUAACAAUAGUCCAUUGGAAACGACACUCGAGUAUUGUUGACGAAAUAAUAGUCGGAACCGAAAGCGAUUGUUUCGACAAACUCGAAACUUUAGUCGUUUCUAUUGUUCCCGGGAUUUGAUAAUUUCGAGGUUAAACCCUGGAAAAAAAUAGGAAAAAUACCCCUCGAAUACGUUGUAUAUCCUAUACAAAAUAUAAUACUUUGCUCUGGAGUUUAUAAAUAAAGACGAGCUGUUUGUUUUCCCGUCCGCGUGUCUGUUCGCCACGUAAUGUGUCGUAAAGCGCACGGACGAUUAAGCCAAUGCGGCGUAACGCGUUACGAUUUGGAGGGGGUAAUUCGUUACGGUGUAUAAAUCGAAGACUCCUUCUUUGGAUUUUUCCGCGAUAGACGAUUUUCCACUUCUACGAGAAUCGGAAUAGAGCAAAGCGCGAAUUCGAUCCUCCUUAACCUUCGACGGUCGUUUACGUAACCGGGGUUACGCAAGGUCGAUUAACGCCGGAAUUGCGUAACGUCUCCCUCCGACAAUAACAACGUUUACGAAUUUGUCCUUUUUACGAUUCGGUCCGGCGACGAACCAAAACUUAUUCGCGUGGCACCCGACCCGAGCACCCUAUAAAUAGGGAGGAAGGGACUCGGUGGCCGUAUCCGGAGAUCGAAAACAUGGAAGGAACUAAGUGGUUGAUAUUGCUGUCCCUGUUCGCCCUGGCCAGCUGCAGUUUCUAUUAUCCUUACGACGAUUCGUCAGUCACUUACUAUCAAGACCGUCACGACUAUCAUCACUACGGAUACGACCAUUACGGCCAUCACGAUCGCAGUUACUACUACCCUUACUACGGUUACUACGGUUACUACGGUUACAAUCCCUACGACUUCUUGUACGGACCCUACUCGUACGGUUCUGGAUACGUCAAUCAAUACGGAUAUUACAAAUAAAAGAUCGAGGAAAGGGAGGAAGAUUCCGCCGGUGCUCCGACGUUCCAGCUUCGGACGUUGUAAAAAUAGAGAAAUAAAGGGUUUUAACGUUGAAAAUAGUCUCGAAAU
This is a long non-coding RNA of Centruroides sculpturatus (bark scorpion), 1263 nucleotides long. RefSeq lists it as uncharacterized. The record is from RefSeq and is a predicted model, not a curated record. The transcript is spliced from 3 exons. Lineage: Eukaryota; Metazoa; Arthropoda; Arachnida; Scorpiones; Buthidae.